RNAcentral lists this ribosomal RNA (465 nucleotides) under uncultured bacterium. RNAcentral's name for it is "partial 16S ribosomal RNA". It matches the Rfam family "Bacterial small subunit ribosomal RNA", at positions 338 to 795 of the family's 1533-position model. The record is from RNAcentral.
CCUACGGGUGGCAGCAGUAGGGAAUCUUCCACCAUGGGCGAAAGCCUGAUGGAGCAACGCCGCGUGGGUGAAGAAGGUCUUCGGAUCGUAAAACUCUGUUGUUAGAGAAGAAAGUGCGUGAGAGUAACUGUUCACGUUUCGACGGUAUCUACCCAGAAAGCUACGGCUAACUACGUGCCAGCAGCCGCGGUAAUACGUAGGUGGAAAGCGUACUCCGGAUUUAUUGGGCGUAAAGGGAACGCAGGCGGUCUUUUAAGUCUGAUGUGAAGGCCGUCGGCUUAACCGGAGUAGUGCAUUGGAAACUGGGAGACGUGAGUGCAGAAGAGGAGAGUGGAACGCCAUGUGUAGCGGUGAAAUGCGUAGAUAUAUGAAAGAACACCAGUGGCGAAAGCGGCUCUCUGGUCUGUAACUGACGCUGAGGUUCGAAAGCGUGGGUAGCAAACAGGAUUAGAUACCCUUGUAGUC